This 486-nucleotide ribosomal RNA is filed under the name uncultured bacterium. RNAcentral's name for it is "partial 16S ribosomal RNA". It matches the Rfam family "Bacterial small subunit ribosomal RNA", at positions 30 to 507 of the family's 1533-position model. The record is from RNAcentral.
AUUGAACGCUGGCGGCAUGCCUUACACAUGCAAGUCGAACGGGAGCACGGGUGCUUGCACCUGGUGGCGAGUGGCGAACGGGUGAGUAAUACAUCGGAACAUGUCCUGUAGUGGGGGAUAGCCCGGCGAAAGCCGGAUUAAUACCGCAUACGAUCCACGGAUGAAAGCGGGGGACCUUCGGGCCUCGCGCUAUAGGGUUGGCCGAUGGCUGAUUAGCUAGUUGGUGGGGUAAAGGCCUACCAAGGCGACGAUCAGUAGCUGGUCUGAUAGGACGACCAGCCACACUGGGACUGAGACACGGCCCAGACUCCUACGGGAGGCAGCAGUGGGGAAUUUUGGACAAUGGGCGAAAGCCUGAUCCAGCAAUGCCGCGUGUGUGAAGAAGGCCUUCGGGUUGUAAAGCACUUUUGUCCGGAAAGAAAUCCUUGACUCUAAUACAGUCGGGGGAUGACGGUACCGGAAGAAUAAGCACCGGCUAACUACGUG